This is a long non-coding RNA of Sander lucioperca (pikeperch), 338 nucleotides long. RefSeq lists it as uncharacterized. The record is from RefSeq and is a predicted model, not a curated record. The transcript is spliced from 3 exons. Lineage: Eukaryota; Metazoa; Chordata; Actinopteri; Perciformes; Percidae.
CAGCAAACUAAGAUAAACAGUUAGACUACAAACCGACAGCUUUUGUUUUAGCUUGUUUGUAAAAAUUCUCUAUUUGCAGAGUUGAGCUGUGUUCGUGUAAAACAGCGUGGUGGACUGAGCAGACAGAGCACAUUGAAAUAUUGCUUUCUACAUUUUUAUGCCUGUCUUUACAGGUGAGUGCAUUGAUAAGUAUUGACUUUUUACUCACAAAGGUUUUAUUGUAGCCUACUUACAGUAACAAGACUAGCGUGAGUGCAUCUGCCCCAGCGGCCGUUGGUAAUCCUCUUUGUAUCGUUCCCAGUCAGGUACUGCGUGUGCUUUAGAUGUGUGUGUGUGUG